AUAUCAGUAAGCGGAGGAAAAGAAACUAACAAGGAUUCCCCUAGUAAUGGCGAAUGAAGAGGGAAGAGCUCAAAUUUGAAACCUGUCAGGGCAACCUGUCCGGAUUGUAGUUUGGAGAAGUGUUUUCCGUGAUCCGCCGAGUCCAAGUUCCUUGGAACAGGGCAUCAAAGAGGGUGAGAAUCCCGUCUUUGGCUCGGCUGUGGUUACUCUGUGAUACACUUUCAAAGAGUCGAGUUGUUUGGGAAUGCAGCUCAAAAUGGGUGGUAAAUUUCAUCUAAAGCUAAAUAUUGGCCAGAGACCGAUAGCGCACAAGUA
RNAcentral lists this ribosomal RNA (315 nucleotides) under uncultured Basidiobolus. Its description in RNAcentral is "partial large subunit ribosomal RNA". It matches the Rfam family "Eukaryotic large subunit ribosomal RNA", at positions 40 to 350 of the family's 3401-position model. Lineage: Eukaryota; Fungi; Basidiobolomycota; Basidiobolomycetes; Basidiobolales; Basidiobolaceae. The record is from RNAcentral.